GGUGUGCCUCAGGGGGGAAUGGAUGCACAGGUGUCUCUGUGUGGUGUGCCUCAGGGGGAACGGAUGCACAGGUGUCUCUGUGUGGUGUGCCUCAGGGGGGAAUGGAUGCACAGGUGUCUCUGUGCUGUGUGCUUCAGGGCUAUACCACAGAGCGGUACAUUAUAUGGCAGAUAUAGUUUCAGUUUUUAGAACAUCUUUGGGGUUUCCACAGUGGAUAGAUUAGGU
This is a long non-coding RNA of Acomys russatus (golden spiny mouse), 225 nucleotides long. RefSeq lists it as uncharacterized. The transcript has 3 exons. The record is from RefSeq and is a predicted model, not a curated record. NCBI's taxonomy places the organism in Eukaryota, Metazoa, Chordata, Mammalia, Rodentia, Muridae.